UCUACGAAACGUUCUGGUCUCAGAAAGUC
Molecule: non-coding RNA, 29 nt
Filed under: Rattus norvegicus (Norway rat)
Lineage: Eukaryota; Metazoa; Chordata; Mammalia; Rodentia; Muridae
Source: RNAcentral